UUUUCUUUCCAAUCUUACUUCAAACCAGUUGAACAGAAAUAAAUAAUAAUUAACUUGAUAUAAUGUAAGAAGAUGGUUAUUAUUUUUUAUUACCAAAGGUUAAUCUUAAAUAACUGAAAGCUCCACCAACAACAGGAACUUGAACUGCAAAUUCAGAAGAACACAUACUCCAUUAGUAUAUUUGCCUCAACAAAAUAUCCCAUAAAUUCUCCUGCAUCAUCAUAAAUUAAUAAAAACAAGUUUUUAUACAAGAAUAAAUAAUAUUCAAAAGAAAUAAAUUAUUUUUUUUAUAAACAAAAUGUUACCAUAUUAGUUGUUAGCUUAGUAUUUUCUUUCCAAUCUUACUUCAAACCAGUUGAACAGAAAUAAAUAAUAAUUAACUUGAUAUAAUGUAAGAAGAUGUUUUUUUUUUAUUACCAAAGGUUAAUCUUAAAUAACUGAAAGCUCCACCAACAACAGGAACUUGAACUGCAAAUUCAGAGUAACACAGAGAAAAAAGAAGUGCUGAUAUUCAUGCAAUGAU
This 523-nucleotide long non-coding RNA is filed under the name Cicer arietinum (chickpea). RNAcentral describes it as "long non-coding RNA (CARI_LNC002925)". The record is from RNAcentral. Lineage: Eukaryota; Viridiplantae; Streptophyta; Magnoliopsida; Fabales; Fabaceae.